Carlito syrichta (Philippine tarsier) is the source of this 1686-nucleotide RNA transcript. It is a transcript of the gene named eukaryotic translation initiation factor 3 subunit L pseudogene, with no coding region annotated. NCBI's taxonomy places the organism in Eukaryota, Metazoa, Chordata, Mammalia, Primates, Tarsiidae. The record is from RefSeq and is a predicted model, not a curated record. The transcript has a single exon.
CAUGGGUGCUGCCGUUUCUGUAAGAGAGGCUUGCGAGUGCUGCAGCCAUGUCUUAUCUCGCUGAUGAUUAUGAGUCUGAGGCGGCUUAUGAUCCCUAUUCUUACCCGGGCGACUAUGAUAUGCACACAGGAGAUCCAAAACAGGACCUUGCUUAUGAACGUCAAUAUGAACAGCAGACCUAUCAGGUGAUCAAAAACUUCAUCCAGUAUUUCCACAAAACCGUCUCGGAUUUGAUUGACCAGAACAUGUAUGAGCUACAGGCCAGUCGUGUCUCCAGCGAUGUCAUUGACCAGAAGGUGUAUGAGAUCCAGGACAUCUAUGAGAACAGCUGGACCAAGCUGACUGAAAGGUUCUUCAAGAAUACACCUUGGCCUGAGCUAAAGCCAUUGCUCCACAGGUUGGCAAUGAUGCUGUCUUCCUGAUUUUAUACAAAGAAUUAUAUUACAGGCACAUAUGUGACACAGUCAGUGGGGGACCCUCCUUGGAGCAGAGGUUUGAAUUCUAUUACAACGACUGCAGUCUCUUCAACUACAUUCUUAAUGCUGAUGGUCCUGCUCCCCUUGAACUACCCAAUCAGUGGCUGUGGGAUAUCAUUGCUGAAUUCAUCUAUCAGUUUCAGUCAUUUAGUCAGUACCACUGCAAGACUGCCAAGAAGUCAGAGGAGGAGAUUGACUUCCUUCAUUCCAAUCUCAAAAUCUGAAAUGUUCACAGUGUCCUCAAUGCCCUUCAUUCCCUGGUAGACAAAUCCAACAUCAAUCUUCAGUUGGAGGUGUGCACAAGUGGAGGUGACCUUGAGAGUGUGGCUGGGGAGUAUGGAUGGCACUCCCUCUACAAGAUGCUUGGUUACUUCAGCCUGGUGGGGCUUCUGCGCCUGCACUCCCUGCUAGGGAAUUACUACCAGGCCAUCAGAGUGCUGGAGAAUAUCAAACUGAACAAGAAGAGCAUGUAUUCCUGUGUGCCAGAGUGCCAAGUCACCACAUACUAUUAUGUUGGUUUUGCAUAUUUGAUGAUGUGUCGCUACCAGGAUGCCAUCAACUUCUUUGCUAACAUCCUCCUUUAUAUCCAGAGGACCUGUCAGUAUGAGACGAUUAACAAGAAGAAUGAGCAGAUGCAUGCACUAGUGGCCAUCGCCCUCACCAUGUACCCCAUGCAUAUCGACAAGACCAUUCACCUCCAGUUGCCGGAAAAAUAUGGUGACAAGAUGCUCACAAGUCUACCAGGAACUUUUUAGCUACUCCUGCCCCACGUUCCUGUCACCUGUAGUGCCCAACUAUGACAACGUGCACCCUAACAACCACAAAGAGCCCUUCCCGCAGCAGCUGAAGGUAUUUUCUGAUGAAGUGCAACACCAAGCCCAGCUCUCAACCAUCUGCAGCUUUCUCAAGCUCUACUCCACCAUGCUUGUGGCCAAGCUGGCCAGCUUCCUGGACCUCCCAGAGCAGGAGUUCCGGAUCCAGUUUCUUGUUUUCAAACACAAGAUGAAGAACCUGGUGUGGAUCAGUGGCAUCUCCGCCUUAGAUGGUGAAUUUCACUCAGCCUCUGAGGUUGACUUCUACAUUGACAAGGACGUGGUCCACAUUGCAGAUACCCAAGGUCACCAGGUGCUAUGGAGAUUUCUUUAUUCAUCAGAUACACAAAUUUGAGGAACUUAAUCGAACCCUGAAGAAGAUGGGCCGGAGACCCUGA